RNAcentral lists this ribosomal RNA (253 nucleotides) under uncultured bacterium. Its description in RNAcentral is "partial 16S ribosomal RNA". It matches the Rfam family "Bacterial small subunit ribosomal RNA", at positions 524 to 776 of the family's 1533-position model. The record is from RNAcentral.
UACGUAGGGGGCAAGCGUUGUCCGGAUUUAUUGGGCGUAAAGAGCGUGUAGGCGGUCAGGUAGGUCCGUUGUGAAAACUCGAGGCUCAACCUCGAGACGCCGAUGGAAACCAUCUGACUAGAGUCCGGAAGAGGAGAGUGGAAUUCCUGGUGUAGCGGUGGAAUGCGCAGAUAUCAGGAGGAACACCGGUGGCGAAGGCGGGUCUCUGGGCCGUUACUGACGCUGAGGAGCGAAAGCGUGGGGAGCGAACAGG